Molecule: ribosomal RNA, 242 nt
Filed under: Silene dioica (red campion)
Lineage: Eukaryota; Viridiplantae; Streptophyta; Magnoliopsida; Caryophyllales; Caryophyllaceae
Source: RNAcentral
UCGAAACCUGCCCAGCAGAGCGACCCGUGAACAUGUUCAACCUCGUGGGUGUCGGGGCGUCGCUCGGUGCCUCGUGUGCCGGCCCGUCCCUAUCCCAAGCCGGGGAGCGCUCACCCGUGGGCCGUUUCCCGGCAAAACAACGAACCCCGGCGCGUAAUGCGUCAAGGAAUACAAACUCUAUGUGUGUGCCCUCCCGCUGCCCGGUCAGCCGGGCGUUGGAGCGGUGCCAUGUCUUAACAAUA